Molecule: ribosomal RNA, 577 nt
Filed under: uncultured bacterium
Lineage: Bacteria
Description: partial 16S ribosomal RNA
Rfam family: Bacterial small subunit ribosomal RNA
Source: RNAcentral
UGGGGAAUUUUGGACAAUGGGGGAAACCCUGAUCCAGCCAUCCCGCGUGUGCGAUGAAGGCCUUCGGGUUGUAAAGCACUUUUGGCAGGAAAGAAACGUCGCGGGUUAAUACCCCGCGAAACUGACGGUACCUGCAGAAUAAGCACCGGCUAACUACGUGCCAGCAGCCGCGGUAAUACGUAGGGUGCAAGCGUUAAUCGGAAUUACUGGGCGUAAAGCGUGCGCAGGCGGUUCGGAAAGAAAGAUGUGAAAUCCCAGAGCUUAACUUUGGAACUGCAUUUUUAACUACCGGGCUAGAGUGUGUCAGAGGGAGGUGGAAUUCCGCGUGUAGCAGUGAAAUGCGUAGAUAUGCGGAGGAACACCGAUGGCGAAGGCAGCCUCCUGGGAUAACACUGACGCUCAUGCACGAAAGCGUGGGGAGCAAACAGGAUUAGAUACCCUGGUAGUCCACGCCCUAAACGAUGUCAACUAGCUGUUGGGGGCCUUCGGGCCUUGGUAGCGCAGCUAACGCGUGAAGUUGACCGCCUGGGGAGUACGGUCGCAAGAUUAAAACUUAAAUGAAUUGACGGGGGUCAUA